RNAcentral lists this ribosomal RNA (34 nucleotides) under uncultured Trichophaea. RNAcentral's name for it is "partial 18S ribosomal RNA". The record is from RNAcentral. Lineage: Eukaryota; Fungi; Ascomycota; Pezizomycetes; Pezizales; Pyronemataceae.
GGUGAACCUGCGGAAGGAUCAUUAAAAUGUAAAC